This 391-nucleotide ribosomal RNA is filed under the name uncultured bacterium. RNAcentral describes it as "bacterial SSU rRNA". It matches the Rfam family "Bacterial small subunit ribosomal RNA", at positions 28 to 417 of the family's 1533-position model. The record is from RNAcentral.
GACGAACGCUGGCGGCGUGCUUAACACAUGCAAGUCGAGCGGUAAGGCCCUUUCGGGGGUACGACGAGCGGCGAACGGGUGAGUAACACGUGGGUGACCUGCCCUCAGCUCUGGGAUAAGCCUGGGAAACUGGGGUCUAAUACCGGAUAUGACUCCAUGACGCAUGUUGUGGGGUGGAAAGCCUUGUGCGGCUGAGGAUGGGCCCGCGGCCUAUCAGCUUGUUGGUGGGGUGANGGCCUACCAAGGCGACGACGGGUAGCCGGCCUGAGAGGGCGACCGGCCACACUGGGACUGAGACACGGCCCAGACUCCUACGGGAGGCAGCAGUGGGGAAUCUUGCGCAAUGGGCGAAAGCCCUGACGCAGCGACGCCGCGUGAGGGAUGACGGCCU